GCCUUCAUGAUGAAACUGUAAGCACGUCCAGUUAAAAAUUGCGAAGUCCGGAGUUCGAAUCCCUGUGAAGGCA
RNAcentral lists this transfer RNA (73 nucleotides) under Stegodyphus mimosarum. It matches the Rfam family "tRNA". From Rfam's summary of the family: Transfer RNA (tRNA) molecules are approximately 80 nucleotides in length. Their secondary structure includes four short double-helical elements and three loops (D, anti-codon, and T loops). Lineage: Eukaryota; Metazoa; Arthropoda; Arachnida; Araneae; Eresidae. The record is from Rfam by way of RNAcentral.